GUAUAAAAAGCGAGAAAUUUGCAUAUGGUUUCGACCCGUAUUUUAAGGGUGUAAGUCCUUUUUUAUACU
RNAcentral lists this transfer RNA (69 nucleotides) under Neptuneopsis gilchristi. RNAcentral's name for it is "tRNA-Arg". Lineage: Eukaryota; Metazoa; Mollusca; Gastropoda; Neogastropoda; Volutidae. The record is from RNAcentral.